This is a long non-coding RNA of Neofelis nebulosa (Clouded leopard), 502 nucleotides long. RefSeq lists it as uncharacterized. The record is from RefSeq and is a predicted model, not a curated record. NCBI's taxonomy places the organism in Eukaryota, Metazoa, Chordata, Mammalia, Carnivora, Felidae. The transcript is spliced from 3 exons.
GGGGGGGAGAGGCAGUUCGUAACUCCCUGACCCCAAGGAGAACUUGACAACACCAGGGUGACUUUACAUAAAGGAGCUCGGAGGAAAAGGCUAAUGGAGUCCAAUCGAGAGCCGUCAGUUGCAUGCACGCAGACCUCGGUGGCAUUCGCUGUUGGAAUUGCUUCUUCAACAGUGACCUUGGGUGGGAGAGAGCCUGUCUGGAGCCGGACCCCCCGUAGCGGCCUCUUACCUCGACCCCCUGGCCUCCCACGGCGUCUCCAGUGGACCGUGUACUCCUAAAGACGUCCCCCACCGGCCAGCUGAGCGGCGCAUCUCCAGAGCCGCUCCCGCCCCUCGCCUCCCUCGCUACAGUCCCAGCGCUUUUUAAAACUUUGAGCGCAGCUUUUACGUGACUGGAGAGUCAUAAAUGCUUCUGCCCUUGUUCAGCCAACAUAGACACCCUUGCGUCCCCUUCACAUUUCAUGAAUUACGAGAAUAUAUAAAGCUAACAUUCCAAAAAUAA